GUGCCAGCAGCCGCGGUAAUACGUAGGGGGCAAGCGUUAUCCGGAAUUAUUGGGCGUAAAGGGUGCGUAGGCGGGAUAAUAAGUCUGUGGUUAAAAUGCGGUGCUCAACGCCGUAGCGCUACAGAUACUGUUAACCUAGAGUAUGGUAGAAGUGAGUGGAACUCCAUGUGUAGCGGUAAAAUGCGUAAAUAUAUGGAAGAACACCAGUGGCGAAGGCGGCUCACUAGGCCAAAACUGACGCUGAGACACGAAAGCGUGGGGAGCAAACAGGAUUAGAUACCCUGGUAGUCCACGCCCUAAACGAUGAGUACUAAGUGUUGCCAGAAGGCAGUGCUGAAGUUAACGCAUUAAGUACUCCGCCUGAGUAGUACGUACGCAAGUAUGAAACUUAAAGGAAUUGACGGGAGCCCGCACAAGCGGUGGAGCAUGUUGUUUAAUUCGAAGAUACGCGAAGAACCUUACCAGGUCUUGACAUCCUCUGCGAAGCUAUAGAGAUAUAGUAGAGGUUAACAGAGAGACAGGUGGUGCAUGGUUGUCGUCAGCUCGUGUCGUGAGAUGUUAGGUUAAGUCCUGCAACGAGCGCAACCCUUAUUGCUAGUUACCAUCAUUAAGUUGGGGACUCUAGCGAGACUGCCGGUGAUAAACCGGAGGAAGGUGGGGAUGACGUCAAAUCAUCAUGCCCUUUAUGACCUGGGCUACAAACGUGCUACAAUGGCUGAAACAAAGAGAAGCAAGCUCGCGAGAGUAAGCAAACCUCAUAAAAGCAGUCUCAGUUCGGAUUGAAGUCUGCAACUCGACUUCAUGAAGUUGGAAUCGCUAGUAAUCGCGAAGAAGAGUGUCGCGGUGAAUACGUUCUCGGGCUUUGUACACACCGCCCGU
RNAcentral lists this ribosomal RNA (879 nucleotides) under uncultured bacterium. Its description in RNAcentral is "bacterial SSU rRNA". It matches the Rfam family "Bacterial small subunit ribosomal RNA", at positions 505 to 1397 of the family's 1533-position model. The record is from RNAcentral.